AUGUGAUCGUCUCUCGCAUAUCAAUAAGCGGAGGAAAAGAAACUAACAAGGAUUCCCCUAGUAACGGCGAGUGAAGCGGGAAGAGCUCAAAUUUGAAAUCUUAAAGGGUUUCCCUUUACGAAUUGUAGUUUAAAGAAGUGUUUUCUGUUGAGGUUUUGGUAAAAGUUCUUUGGAAUAGGACAUCAUAGAGGGUGAGAAUCCCGUAUUUGACCUUUACUUUCAACUUUGUGAUACGCUUUCAAAGAGUCGGAUUGUUUGGGAAUGCAGUCCAAAAUGGGUGGUAAAUUUCAUCUAAAGCUAAAUAUUGGCGAGAGACCGAUAGCGAACAAGUACCGUGAGGGAAAGACGAAAAGAACUUUGAAAAGAGAGUUAAACAGUACGUGAAAUUGUCAAAAGGGAAGCGUUUGACACCAGUGUUGUUUUUCUGAAAAUCAAUUAAAGAACUGUUUAUGCUAAGCUGUUUAGACUUUAUCAGCUAACUGUUUAGUUUUGAGCUUUUCUUUAAUGCACUUUUCAGUUAACAAGUCAACAUCAAUUUCUUUUGCUGUAAAAAAGCUUGAGGAAGGUGGCUUGAGAUUCGUCUUAAGUGUUUAUAGCCUCUUGCCUAUGCAGUCGGAGAGAUUGAGGUCUGCAGCGUAGAUCCUUCGGGGCUAAAUGCAUUUGUGCUAAGUUAUAGCAUUUUAUAGACAACUUGUUGACUAUGAUUUGUCUUGUAGCUUACUCGCUUAUGUUAUUUUACCUACGCUUAGGAUGUUGACACACGCGCGUGCUCG
This 773-nucleotide ribosomal RNA is filed under the name uncultured Neocallimastigales. RNAcentral describes it as "partial large subunit ribosomal RNA". It matches the Rfam family "Eukaryotic large subunit ribosomal RNA", at positions 24 to 643 of the family's 3401-position model. Lineage: Eukaryota; Fungi; Neocallimastigomycota; Neocallimastigomycetes; Neocallimastigales. The record is from RNAcentral.